This 301-nucleotide ribosomal RNA is filed under the name uncultured bacterium. Its description in RNAcentral is "partial 16S ribosomal RNA". It matches the Rfam family "Bacterial small subunit ribosomal RNA", at positions 509 to 807 of the family's 1533-position model. The record is from RNAcentral.
CAGUCGCCGCGGUAAUACGAAGGGGGCUAGCGUUGUUCGGAUUAACUGGGCGUAAAGGGUGCGUAGGCGGGUUUUUAAGUCAGAGGUGAAAUCCCAAGGCUCAACCUUGGAACUGCCUUUGAUACUGGAAAUCUUGAGUCCGGGAGAGGUGAGUGGAACUGCGAGUGUAGAGGUGAAAUUCGUAGAUAUUCGCAAGAACACCAGUGGCGAAGGCGGCUCACUGGCCCGGAACUGACGCUGAGGCACGAAAGCGUGGGGAGCAAACAGGAUUAGAUACCCCUGUAGUCCCUGUCUCUUAUAC